UAGGGAAUCUUCCACAAUGGGCGAAAGCCUGAUGGAGCAACGCCGCGUGUGUGAUGAAGGGUUUCGGCUCGUAAAACACUGUUAUAAGAGAAGAAUGACAUUGAGAGUAACUGUUCAAUGUGUGACGGUAUCUUACCAGAAAGGAACGGCUAAAUACGUGCCGG
This 164-nucleotide ribosomal RNA is filed under the name uncultured bacterium. RNAcentral describes it as "partial 16S rRNA". It matches the Rfam family "Bacterial small subunit ribosomal RNA", at positions 355 to 511 of the family's 1533-position model. The record is from RNAcentral.